Molecule: ribosomal RNA, 504 nt
Filed under: uncultured bacterium
Lineage: Bacteria
Description: partial 16S ribosomal RNA
Rfam family: Bacterial small subunit ribosomal RNA
Source: RNAcentral
AUUGAACGCUGGCGGCAGGCCUAACACAUGCAAGUCGAACGGUAGCACAGAGAGCUUGCUCUCGGGUGACGAGCGGCGGACGGGUGAGUAAUGUCUGGGAAACUGCCCGAUGGAGGGGGAUAACUACUGGAAACGGUAGCUAAUACCGCAUAACGUCGCAAGACCAAAGUGGGGGACCUUCGGGCCUCACACCAUCGGAUGUGCCCAGAUGGGAUUAGCUAGUAGGUGGGGUAAUGGCUCACCUAGGCGACGAUCCCUAGCUGGUCUGAGAGGAUGACCAGCCACACUGGAACUGAGACACGGUCCAGACUCCGACGGGAGGCAGCAGUGGGGAAUAUUGCACAAUGGGCGCAAGCCUGAUGCAGCCAUGCCGCGUGUAUGAAGAAGGCCUUCGGGUUGUAAAGUACUUUCAGCGGGGAGGAAGGCGGUGAAGUUAAUAACUUCACCGAUUGACGUUACCCGCAGAAGAAGCACCGGCUAACUCCGUGCCAGCCGCCGCCGUAA